This 593-nucleotide ribosomal RNA is filed under the name Cytospora schulzeri. RNAcentral describes it as "partial 28S ribosomal RNA". It matches the Rfam family "Eukaryotic large subunit ribosomal RNA", at positions 39 to 656 of the family's 3401-position model. The record is from RNAcentral. Lineage: Eukaryota; Fungi; Ascomycota; Sordariomycetes; Diaporthales; Cytosporaceae. RNAcentral also lists the same sequence under 1 other name.
CAUAUCAAAAGCGGAGGAAAAGAAACCAACAGGGAUUGCCCUAGUAACGGCGAGUGAAGCGGCAACAGCUCAAAUUUGAAAGCUGGCUCCGGCCCGCAUUGUAAUUUGCAGAGGAUGCUUCUGGUGAGGUGCCUUCCGAGUUCCCUGGAACGGGACGCCAUAGAGGGUGAGAGCCCCGUAUGGAUGGACACCAAACCUGUGUGAAGCUCCUUCAACGAGUCGAGUAGUUUGGGAAUGCUGCUCUAAAUGGGAGGUAAAUCUCUUCUAAAGCUAAAUACCGGCCAGAGACCGAUAGCGCACAAGUAGAGUGAUCGAAAGAUGAAAAGCACCUUGAAAAGGGGGUUAAACAGUACGUGAAAUUGUUGAAAGGGAAGCGCUUGUGACCAGACUUGCGCCGGGCAGCUCAUCAGGGGUUCUCCCCUGUGCACUCUGCCCGGCUCAGGCCAGCAUCGGUUCUCGUGGGAGGAUAAGAACGGUAGGAACGUGGCCCCCUUCCGGGGGGGUGUUAUAGCCUACCGUACGAUACUCCCGUGGGGACCGAGGUUCGCGCUCCGCAAGGAUGCUGGCGUAAUGGUCAUCAGCGACCCGUCUUG